UGUGGGUGGCAGACAGAGGCUUUGUGCAUGAGAAGCCCAGACCUGGGGCUUUGGCUAGUGAAGACCUUCCUGGUCUCUGUUUUUUUCUCUCCAGGGUCAGGGUCCUGAAGGUUGGACCUUACGGUGUUGGUUUAAGGAAGAGGAAAAUGGAAAUCCAAACACAGGGAGAUCUAAGAGACACCAGAGAGGGAAACUAGGGGCCUUAGGGGUGAGGCAGACCUCAACUGCGAAAAGUCCCCAGGGGGCUGCUCCCACCCCUGAGGCCAGGUGGCAGGCAGGCUUCCCCACACGGUCAUGCGGAACCUUCCCCAUAUCCCGGGCCUGGCACAGAGGCCAGCACGCUGGAAUUAGAGACGCUGAGGGGAUGAAUGACAGUGGCCACACAACUGCAGCAAGAAGAAUCCUGCUGUGGGAAGCAGGAUUUUUGCAGCUGUUCCAGAGCAUGCUCCCAUCUCUGCAGUCACCCAUGCUUUGGGAGAGUCUUUAUUGUUUCUGUACUUGCUGCUUUUGCCAACCCAGCAUCCCUUCCCCUUUUCUGCAGAGCCAGGUAGUUCAGAUGGACCUAUUCCAACUCUGCCCCAGAGACUGACACCUGACACAUGCCUGGCUAAUCACAGCACUGCAUUCCUCUGGCCACAGUGAUUAGAGAAGGGAUGGGCAUGUGACCCAAGCUGGACCAAUGAGAAGCAUCCCCAGGACUUUUGCUGGAGAGUCUGGGUAGGAGGUACUUGCUGGGAGGAAUAUCUGCCUGGAGACACUGUUCUCUACUGGCAAAUGCCACGUGGAGAACAAAGUCGGCACAGUCAGCUUUCAGAGCUGAGGCAAGGAUUCCUGAGGACAGCAAUGUAAACACCCUGAUCCAGCCAUGCCUGAGGCUAGAUAGGCCCCUGGGCCAUUCGUUUGAAUCCAUACAUUCAUACGAAUCCAUGAAUUCCUUGUUUUCUCCUGGCACUUUGAGUUGUCUUUUCCUUGCAGCUGAACAUCUUAUCUCAUCUGACCCUCUAGUAGAGCAAAGACUUUAGCCACCAUUUCUGGAUGAGCCUUGGUGGCUCCAGGUCAGAUGGCUCAUCAAAGGUGAAACCUACCUGCGGGCUGUCACACCGAGACUUUCUCCAGGAGCUGAGGUGGCAGUGCUGAUAAUUUCUACAGCAGCAGAGUGUGCCAGUUUCCAGCAGCUGUUCGGGGUGAAUGUGCAUGUGGAGCCUUCCACCAGAGCAUCGCUACUCGCCUCGGCAACUUUACUCAGUGUUGGAUCCACCAAGGAUGCCAGGAGGGGCCUCGACCACCAGCUGUGCAAAUCAGCCCCUAGUGUCUGGGAGGAGGUGGUCUGGAGGGCAGAAAGCCCAGUGGGGGUUGAGGAGAAGAAGGAAGAGAAGAAGGUUGGCAGUGCGGGAGAUGGGGGUAGGGGGGACUCUGACACCCUCUGUUGUCGCCAUUGGUUCGCUCCAAAUUAUCUCAGUCAACACACAGUUGCAGACUCAUCCUGGGUAUCUGCCUGUGACCCCCAUUUUUAAUUGCAGGUCACCCUCGAGCCCCCUGCAUGGAAAUUCCAGAACUGCCUGAGUUGCAGGUGGAGGUGGCUGAGUUGGGACCCCAUUAGGACAUUUUUUUUUCUUUGAGACAGAGUCUCACUCUGUCACCCAGGCUGGAGUGCAGUGGCACGAUCUCAGCUUACUGCAAUUUCCACCUCCCAGAUUCAAGCGAUUUUCCUGCCUCAGCCUCCCAAGUAGCUGGGACUACAGGCGUGUGCCAUCAUGCCCAGCUAAUUUUUGUAUUUUUAGUAGACACGGGGUUUCACCAUGUUGGCCAGCCUAGUCUCGAACUCCUGGCCUCAAGUGAUCCACCCACGUUGGCCUCCCAAAAUUCUGAGAUUACAGGCGUGAGCCACUGCGCCCAGCCUUAUCUAGGUCAUUUUCACAAACCAGGGCUACCUGGUGAAGUGGGUCCAGGAAAGGUCAUCCCAACCCCAUUCUGAAAGCGCCUUUUGGUGAAAUCUAGGUGCGGAGGCUGCACAGAGCCCAGACUUUAGCGGCUGUUUGAAGCUCACAUGCUAAUGACGUUUGUAUCCAAAUAAUAACAAAUGUCAGGUGUAUGCACCUGUCUCUCUCAUUUGUAUAUUGCCUGAAUGCUUUUCUCAGUGCCUCUUUCCUGGGCCAGAUGUGCAGCCACCGCCUGUUCUGGGGUGGCACGGAGGAGGAGGAGGAAAGGAUACUGAGGUUUAGCACAUUUAAGUUUGGAAACUGUUCGAUGCCAUCCCUGACAGUUCACCCUAGGAUCUGGGGGUGGAGAGUGAUGACAGAAGCGGGCAAAUAAUCUGUGAGUCUUUCAGCCGUUGCUGUGUGCCCCACCGUACACAUACCCUUUUCUAAUGUGUGCCAAACAGUGAAAUCUAAUGAUAAUAGAUAAGGAUUGUAGGAAGAAAGCAAUCUAGAACCGAUUAUUUCUUUUCUUUCUUCAGAAAUAACCGUUAGGUGAGGAAUGUGAUUUGAGGUGCACCAAGAGGGGUCCUCAGUUUCUAAACACUGCCCCCCAGACCCCCAAUACACACAUACCCUGCCUCUACCUCCACCCAAAGAGAGGACUCAAUACUGAGGUCAGAACUCCUCUACGUGGGACUAUAGCAAAGAAGAACGCAGGAGAGGGGACGGUGGCUGGGGACACAGCAGAUGGGCACUGCCAGGCAGGACUGCUGUGGGCAUUGCCAGGGAGAGCCAGGAUGCAAAAAUGGCAGUGAGGGGGCCCUGGUAAGGGCUUCUAGGGCUUUGCUGAUCUCCAGGCUCAUGCGAGGGCUGACUAGCUUGGGCAGACAGACCUUUUUUCUUUUUUCCCUCCAACAGAAACAAAAGGAUAAAAUCAUUGGCAUCACUGCUGGACAUGGUGGCUCACGCCUGUAAUCCCUGCACUUUGGGAGGCUGAGGCAGGUGAAUCACCUGAGGUCAGGAGUUCGAGACCAGCCUGGCCAACAUGGUGAAACCCUGUCUCUACUAACAAUACAAAAAUUAGCUGGGUGUGGUGGCGGGUGCCUGUAAUCCCAGCUACUCAGGAGGCUGAGACAUGAGAAUCACUUGAACCCGGGAGGUGGAGGUUGCAGUGAGCUGAGAUCGUGCCACUGCACUCCAGCCUUGACGACAGACCAAGAACCUGUCUCACAAAAAAAAAAAAAAAAAAAAGGAGAAAGAAAAAAAGAAAUCAUUGGCAUCAAUUGGGCUCAUUCAACGUAGAUUACUGAUGUGUUAUUGUUUUGAAGAUAGAAGAAAUAUAAUUAAUAAAAGCCACCCAGCCCGCCUUUUGUGUUUCCGUGAAUUCCUUAUUGACGUCUGCAUCUAUCUCAAGCCGCAGAUGAGCCAUCCUUUUCAGCUGCCCUGGAUAGCACGGAGAUGAACAGUGUGGAAAAAUCACUCCUGGGAUCUGUACACUCAUCUUCUGCAGCUGCAAUUUUUCUUCUGCAGCCUCAGUUUUCUCCAUCACAGUGGUGGAAUCAGAGAGGGGGUUUCCCGGGAGCACAGUGCAGGGUUCCCUUCAAGGAAGAGCAAAGUCCGCCUCAGUGCUGGAAGCUUUUUUGGGAGGCCUGAGCGCCUUCCCACCUUGGAUCUCUCUCUCCAGAGCCACCAGACAACCAGUUACCUUUCAGGCACCAGGCUUUGAUGGGUGUGGGGGAACUAUUUCCCGGCAGCGGCCCUGGAAUCACACCUGCCUCACCUCCGGCCUUGAUGUGCCUUAGAGGGACUGAGGGCCAAAGGUCACCUCAGGGAUCACCAGGAGGCCUAGGGAAUAGAAGUAAGGUGUGGGGUGGAGGCUGCGGGCUUCUCUCUGCCCCUGGCAGCUUCUCGCCCACCUGCUUGCUAGUUUGACUUUGGUCCUGCCCACUGUCUCUCUCACACCCACCCACCCUGACAUCUAGAGAAAUGAAAGCUCCUUUGCAUGACAGGAAGCAGGGGAGUUCCCUGAAGUAUGAUUGCAAACCUGAAAACAUCCCCAAACUAGUCUUCCAUCACCACCUGGAAGACAAGAGUUGGAAGAGAAACAGAAAGCAACUUUUUUUUUUGAGACAGAGUCUCACUCUGUCGCCAGGCUAGAGUACAGUGGUGAGAUCUCAGCUCACUGCAACCUCUGACUUCCUGGGUUC
RNAcentral lists this long non-coding RNA (4126 nucleotides) under Homo sapiens (human). RNAcentral's name for it is "HSALNT0258183". Lineage: Eukaryota; Metazoa; Chordata; Mammalia; Primates; Hominidae. The record is from RNAcentral.